This 462-nucleotide ribosomal RNA is filed under the name uncultured bacterium. Its description in RNAcentral is "partial 16S ribosomal RNA". It matches the Rfam family "Bacterial small subunit ribosomal RNA", at positions 28 to 507 of the family's 1533-position model. The record is from RNAcentral.
GACGAACGCUGGCGGCGUGCUUAACACAUGCAAGUCGAGCGGAAAGGCCCUUCGGGGUACUCGAGCGGCGAACGGGUGAGUAACACGUGAGUAACCUGCCCCAGACUUUGGGAUAACCCUCGGAAACGGGGGCUAAUACCGGAUACGACACAGCUUCGCAUGGGGUCUGUGUGGAAAGUUUUUCGGUUUGGGAUGGGCUCGCGGCCUAUCAGCUUGUUGGUGGGGUGAUGGCCUACCAAGGCGACGACGGGUAGCCGGCCUGAGAGGGCGACCGGCCACACUGGGACUGAGACACGGCCCAGACUCCUACGGGAGGCAGCAGUGGGGAAUAUUGCACAAUGGGCGGAAGCCUGAUGCAGCGACGCCGCGUGAGGGAUGACGGCCUUCGGGUUGUAAACCUCUUUCAGCAGGGACGAAGUGUAAGUGACGGUACCUGCAGAAGAAGCGCCGGCCAACUACGUG